RNAcentral lists this ribosomal RNA (524 nucleotides) under uncultured bacterium. Its description in RNAcentral is "bacterial SSU rRNA". It matches the Rfam family "Bacterial small subunit ribosomal RNA", at positions 192 to 733 of the family's 1533-position model. The record is from RNAcentral.
UAUAAGACAAGUCGGAAAGUUUUUCGCUAAGGGAUCAGUCUAUGUUCCAUCAGCUUGUUGGUGAGGUAAUGGCUCACCAAGGCUAUGACGGAUAUCUGGUUUGAGAGGAUGAUCAGACACACUGGAACUGAGACACGGUCCAGACUCCUACGGGAGGCAUCAGUGAGGAAUAUUGCACAAUGGAGGAAACUCUGAUGCAGCAACGCCGCGUGGAGGAUGACGCAUUUCGGUGUGUAAACUCCUUUUAUUAGGGAAGAUAAUGACGGUACCUAAUGAAUAAGCACCGGCUAACUCCGUGCCAGCAGCCGCGGUAAUACGGAGGGUGCAAGCGUUACUCGGAAUCACUGGGCGUAAAGGGUGCGUAGGCUGGCUCUUAAGUCAGAUGUGAAAUCCAAUGGCUCAACCAUUGAACUGCAUUUGAAACUGAAAGCCUAGAGUUCAGAAGGGGCAGAUGGAAUUAGUGGUGUAGGGGUAAAAUCCGUAGAUAUCACUAGGAAUAUCAAAAGCGAAGGCGAUCUGCUGGG